GGUAAUAUAGGUGAUGCUUGGGAGGAAUGGUAGACAGAGUAACGACAGCGGCAAGCACUAUUGAUUUUUUUUUUUAGUCACGGAUAGCAGAGAAGGAGAUCCAAGAAGAGAAUUCAAGAUUAGCGAGAUGGGUAUAUAGGGGUAAGAGCUUAUUAUUGAAAGAUGCACAGUGUUUGAAUAGUUGCACUUCCCAGUUUUCUAAUUAUGAAUCGUAACAGAGCUA
RNAcentral lists this long non-coding RNA (223 nucleotides) under Eutrema salsugineum. RNAcentral's name for it is "long non-coding RNA (ESAL_LNC001025)". The record is from RNAcentral. Lineage: Eukaryota; Viridiplantae; Streptophyta; Magnoliopsida; Brassicales; Brassicaceae.